UAGAUCUUGACAUACUACUCCAUUUGACAGAGAUGUUGAAGUGCCUUCGGGAGCUGUAAUAC
This 62-nucleotide ribosomal RNA is filed under the name uncultured bacterium. Its description in RNAcentral is "partial 16S ribosomal RNA". The record is from RNAcentral.